AUACCCGCUGAACUUAAGCAUAUCAAUAAGCGGAGGAAAAGAAACCAACAGGGAUUGCCUCAGUAACGGCGAGUGAAGCGGCAUCAGCUCAAAUUUGAAAUCUGGCGUCUUCGGCGUCCGAGUUGUAAUUUGUAGAGAGUGUCUCGGGUGAGCACCGGUCCAAGUUCCUUGGAACAGGAUAUCAGAGAGGGUGAGAAUCCCGUAUCUGGCCGGCCCCCUCCCCCGCUGUGAGACCUCUUCGACGAGUCGAGUUGUUUGGGAAUGCAGCUCUAAAUUGGAGGUAAAUUCCUUCUAAAGCUAAAUACUGGCCAGAGACCGAUAGCGCACAAGUAGAGUGAUCGAAAGAUGAAAAGCACUUUGAAAAGAGAGUCAAACAGUACGUGAAAUUGUUGAAAGGGAAGCGUAUGCGGCCAGACUUGUCCCCAGUUGCUCAGCCCGUCUUUUGGCGGGUGUACUCUUCUGGGGCCAGGCCAGCAUCGGUUUGGGCGGUCGGAUAAAGACGUCGGGAAUGUGGCCCCCCUCGGGGGGUGUUAUAGCCCGGCGUGCAAUGCGUCCAGCCCGGACCGAGGCCCGCGUUCUGCUAGGAUGCUGGCGUAAUGGCCGUAUACGGCCCGUCUUG
RNAcentral lists this ribosomal RNA (619 nucleotides) under Troposporella olivacea. Its description in RNAcentral is "eukaryotic LSU rRNA". It matches the Rfam family "Eukaryotic large subunit ribosomal RNA", at positions 21 to 656 of the family's 3401-position model. Lineage: Eukaryota; Fungi; Ascomycota; Dothideomycetes; Venturiales; Sympoventuriaceae. The record is from RNAcentral.